MicroRNA precursor from Oryza rufipogon (brownbeard rice), 186 nucleotides. It matches the Rfam family "MIR812 microRNA precursor family". The record is from Rfam. Lineage: Eukaryota; Viridiplantae; Streptophyta; Magnoliopsida; Poales; Poaceae.
GAAAAAAAAAAACCUAGUUUUCCGUAUCCAACGUUUAAUUGUCCGUCUUAUAUGAAAUUUUUUUAUAAUUAAUAUUUCCAUUGUUGUUAGAUGAUAAAACAUGAUUAAUACUUUAUGCAUGACUUAUUUUUUUUAAAAAAAAUUUAAAUAAGACGGAUGGUCAAUCAUUGAACAAUGAAACACAGG